Molecule: ribosomal RNA, 766 nt
Filed under: uncultured bacterium
Lineage: Bacteria
Description: bacterial SSU rRNA
Rfam family: Bacterial small subunit ribosomal RNA
Source: RNAcentral
GGACGAACGCUAAACGGCGGGCUUAACACAUGCAAGUCGUGCGCGAAAGCCAUCUUCGGAAGGCGAGUAGAGCGGCGAACGGGUGAGUAACACGUAGGCAAUCUGCCCCGUGGUGGGGGAUAACCCACCGAAAGGUGGGCUAAUACCGCAUGAUGUCCGGAAUCCGCCUGGAAUCCGGACCAAAGCUUUCGGGCGCCAUGGGAUGAGCCUGCGGCCCAUCAGGUAGUUGGUAGGGUAAAGGCCUACCAAGCCGACGACGGGUAGCCGGCGUGAGAGCGUGGCCGGCCACAGGGGGACUGAGACACGGCCCCCACUCCUACGGGAGGCAGCAGUGGGGAAUAUUGGACAAUGGGGGAAACCCUGAUCCAGCGACGCCGCGUGGAGGACGAAGUCUUUCGGGACGUAAACUCCUGAACUUAUCGAACAAUAAAGUGAGAAGGAAAUGGCUCACCGAUGAGGGUAGAUAAGGAAAAGCCCCGGCUAACUACGUGCCAGCAGCCGCGGUAAUACGUAGGGGGCGAGCGUUGCCCGGAAUCACUGGGCGUAAAGGGAGCGUAGGCGGCCUGUUAAGUCGGCUGUGAAAAACCGGAGCUCAACUCCGGUCCUGCGGUCGAAACUGGCAGGCUUGAGGACGGUAGAGGGAGACGGAACAGCUGGUGUAGGGGUAAAAUCCUUAGAUAUCAGCUGGAAGGCCGGUGGUGAAGACGGUCUCCUGGGCCGGACCUGACGCUGAGGCUCGAAAGCUAGGGGAGCGAACGGGAUUAGA